RNAcentral lists this ribosomal RNA (492 nucleotides) under uncultured bacterium. RNAcentral describes it as "partial 16S ribosomal RNA". It matches the Rfam family "Bacterial small subunit ribosomal RNA", at positions 29 to 507 of the family's 1533-position model. The record is from RNAcentral.
AGUGAACGCUGGCGGUAGGCCUAACACAUGCGAGUCGAACGGCAGCACAGUAAGAGCUUGCUCUUACGGGUGGCGAGUGGCGGACGGGUGAGGAAUACAUCGGAAUCUACUUUUUCGUGGGGGAUAACGUAGGGAAACUUACGCUAAUACCGCAUACGACCUACGGGUGAAAGCAGGGGAUCUUCGGACCUUGCGCGAUUGAAUGAGCCGAUGUCGGAUUAGCUAGUUGGCGGGGUAAAGGCCCACCAAGGCGACGAUCCGUAGCUGGUCUGAGAGGAUGAUCAGCCACACUGGAACUGAGACACGGUCCAGACUCCUACGGGAGGCAGCAGUGGGGAAUAUUGGACAAUGGGCGAAAGCCUGAUCCAGCCAUACCGCGUGAGUGAAGAAGGCCUUCGGGUUGUAAAGCCCUUUUGUUGGGAAAGAAAAGCAGCAGGUUAAUACCCCGCUGUUCUGACGGUACCCAAAGAAUAAGCACCGGCUAACUUCGUG